GAUGAACGCUGGCGGCGUGCCUAAUACAUGCAAGUCGAGCGAACAGACGAGGAGCUUGCUCCUCUGACGUUAGCGGCGGACGGGUGAGUAACACGUGGAUAACCUACCUAUAAGACUGGGAUAACUUCGGGAAACCGGAGCUAAUACCGGAUAAUAUAUUGAACCGCAUGGUUCAAUAGUGAAAGACGGUUUUGCUGUCACUUAUAGAUGGAUCCGCGCCGCAUUAGCUAGUUGGUAAGGUAACGGCUUACCAAGGCAACGAUGCGUAGCCGACCUGAGAGGGUGAUCGGCCACACUGGAACUGAGACACGGUCCAGACUCCUACGGGAGGCAGCAGUAGGGAAUCUUCCGCAAAGGGCGAAAGCUUGACGGAGCAACGCCGCGUGAGUGAUGAAGGUCUUCGGAUUGUAAAACUCUGUUAUUAGGGAAGAACAAAUGUGUAAGUAACUAUGCACGUCUUGACGGUACCUAAUCAGAAAGCCACGGCUAACUACGUG
Molecule: ribosomal RNA, 497 nt
Filed under: uncultured bacterium
Lineage: Bacteria
Description: partial 16S ribosomal RNA
Rfam family: Bacterial small subunit ribosomal RNA
Source: RNAcentral